This 216-nucleotide ribosomal RNA is filed under the name Glomeromycotina sp. RNAcentral's name for it is "partial small subunit ribosomal RNA". The stretch from base 40 to 216 matches the Rfam family "Eukaryotic small subunit ribosomal RNA", at positions 686 to 864 of the family's 1831-position model. The record is from RNAcentral. Lineage: Eukaryota; Fungi; Glomeromycota.
GAGUCAGUAUGCUGGUCGUGCCACCGGUACGUACUGGUCUCACUGAUUCCUCCUUCCUGAAGAACCGUAAUGCCAUUAAUUUGGUGUUGCGGGGAAACAGGACUGUUACUUUGAAAAAAUUAGAGUGUUUAAAGCAAGCUAACGCUUGAAUACAUUAGCAUGGAAUAAUGAAAUAGGACGAUCGAUCCUAUUUUGUUGGUUUCUAGUAUUGACGUA